ACAGUUGAAUUUGCAUCCUCAAAAAUCGUAGGUUCGCAGCCUUCGUUACUUUUGGUCAUUCGGGGGGGCCCACAUGUCAUUGUAAAUUAAAUUACACACUCUGGCUCACUGUGUUACUGUAUGUAUAAAUUUAUUUUGCUUUUACGCUACAAAAAUUAUUUACAGGUAUCUCUAUAAAUAUUGUUUCAUAAGAAAAUGAAAUAUUUUAUUUAAUAUUUUUAUUUUAUUCUAA
RNAcentral lists this long non-coding RNA (232 nucleotides) under Theobroma cacao (cacao). Its description in RNAcentral is "long non-coding RNA (TCAC_LNC003900)". Lineage: Eukaryota; Viridiplantae; Streptophyta; Magnoliopsida; Malvales; Malvaceae. The record is from RNAcentral.